CGGUAAGGUAAGUUCCUGGUAAAAUCGGGCAGCUCAACUGUCCGUAUGCUAGGAAUACUGCUAUGCUAGAGGGCGGGAGAGGUCUGAGGUACUACAGGGGUAGGGGUGAAAUCUUAUAAUCCUUGUAGGACCACCAGUGGCGAAAGCGUCAGACUGGAACGCGCCUGACGGUGAGGGACGAAAGCCAGGGGAGCGAACCGGAUUAGAUACCCGGGUAGUCCUGGCCGUAAACGAUGCAUACUAGGUUAUGGUGCGGCCAUGAGCCGUAUCAGAGCCGAAGGGAAACCGUUAAGUGUGCCGCCUGGGAA
Molecule: ribosomal RNA, 308 nt
Filed under: uncultured archaeon
Lineage: Archaea
Description: bacterial SSU rRNA
Rfam family: Archaeal small subunit ribosomal RNA
Source: RNAcentral